This 254-nucleotide ribosomal RNA is filed under the name uncultured bacterium. RNAcentral's name for it is "partial 16S ribosomal RNA". It matches the Rfam family "Bacterial small subunit ribosomal RNA", at positions 524 to 776 of the family's 1533-position model. The record is from RNAcentral.
UACAGAGGGCGCGAGCGUUGUCCGGAAUCACUGGGCGUAAAGGGCGCGUAGGUGGCCACCAUAAGGCCGCGGUGAAAGUUCGGGGCUCAACCCCGGAUCGGCCGCGGCGACUGUGGGGCUCGGGUACUGUAGAGGCAGAUGGAAUUCCGGGUGUAGCGGUGGAAUGCGUAGAGAUCGGGAAGAACACCAGUGGCGAAGGCGGCGUUCUGGGUUGCAACUGACGCUGAGAUGCGAAAGUGUGGGGAGCAAACGGG